GACGAACGCUGGCGGCGUGCUUAACACAUGCAAGUCGAGCGGUAAGGCCCUUUCGGGGGUACACGAGCGGCGAACGGGUGAGUAACACGUGGGUGACCUGCCCUCAGCUCUGGGAUAAGCCUGGGAAACUGGGUCUAAUACUGGAUAUGACUCCACGGUGCAUGUCGGUGGGGUGGAAAGCCUUGUGCGGCUGAGGAUGGGCCCGCGGCCUAUCAGCUUUGUU
RNAcentral lists this ribosomal RNA (223 nucleotides) under uncultured bacterium. RNAcentral describes it as "partial 16S ribosomal RNA". It matches the Rfam family "Bacterial small subunit ribosomal RNA", at positions 28 to 251 of the family's 1533-position model. The record is from RNAcentral.